CCCGCGGAGAGCGGCUCGGAGGGGCGAGGACAGGGUGAACCCGCCCCAAAUGAACGCCGCGGGCCAGGCUCGGUUCCCGGCUAGCACGCGGAGCAGCGCGGUUCGCGCGGGGCGCCCUGUCUGUCCCUUCACCCCGCCGGACCCUCUGCGGGUGGAGCUGGACGCAAGCUGUCAAGCCCCGAGGAGGUGGUGGGUGGUGUAUUUCUGACCUCCAAGUCCUCGUUUCACAAGGGAGACCUAAAGGCUAGCAUGUGUCUGGGGACAGAAGAGCCCCGCUCUGCUGUAGAUGCACAACAAAUUAUGGACCCCACAGAAAGAGCCUUAUGACUCUUCAUAAUUUCCCCAUAACUCCUGCGCUGUGAUCCACUCUGUUCAUAGGCAGUUACCUUUUUCUGUUCAAUAACUUCAUUCUCCGGUUGCACAGACUUGGAGCCAAGCGGUCAUGUGCCCAAAGCCUUCUCUGUUCUACUAGAUCAACUGAUCUACCUGAAAAAGAAAACACCAUUCCUUACAAAAGCAAAAUCACAUCCAGUGCUGGGGUGCCUCAUCGUGAGAACAGAUAUACUGGAUCAAACCGGAGUGGUCUCUGUGAAUGGAUGCAGUUUAUGCUGACAAUCGUCUUGCUGCCGUGUAACACGGCCGGUGACAAGGGAAGAGACGGCGGAGUGGCUCACUCGCAGCGCUGCUAAUGACCCCAGCAUUGUUAUUUCCAUAAAUGGGAUCUUUGUGUGCUAGCUAAACCUGCGCAGGAUAGCUGGGAAAGCCGCUUUCUUUCAAUCUUCCCCAGAUCUCUCUCUGACUUGUACUCAUG
RNAcentral lists this long non-coding RNA (811 nucleotides) under Dromaius novaehollandiae (emu). Its description in RNAcentral is "lncRNA (ENSDNVG00000005132.1)". Lineage: Eukaryota; Metazoa; Chordata; Aves; Casuariiformes; Dromaiidae. The record is from RNAcentral.